Molecule: transfer RNA, 85 nt
Organism: Felis catus (domestic cat)
Lineage: Eukaryota; Metazoa; Chordata; Mammalia; Carnivora; Felidae
Rfam family: tRNA
About the family: Transfer RNA (tRNA) molecules are approximately 80 nucleotides in length.
Source: Rfam
GCCUGGGUAGCUCAGUUGGUUAAGUGUCUGACUUCAGCUCAGGUCAUGAUCUUAUGGUUUGUGGGUUCGACCCCUGCAUCAGGCU